GAUGAACGCCAGCUACAGGCUUAACACAUGCAAGUCGCGGGGCAGCAUGGGGGUUGCUUGCAACCCCCGAUGGCGACCGGCGCACGGGUGAGUAACGCGUAUCCAACCUGCCCUUCACCACGGGAUAACCCGGCGAAAGUCGGACUAAUACCGUAUGUUGCCCAUUGACGGCAUCCGAUUUGGACGAAAGGUUUGGCGGUGAAGGAUGGGGAUGCGUCCGAUUAGCCAGACGGCGGGGUAACGGCCCACCGUGGCUACGAUCGGUAGGGGUUCUGAGAGGAAGGUCCCCCACACUGGAACUGAGACACGAUCCAGACUCCUACGGGAGGCAGCAGUGAGGAAUAUUGGUCAAUGGGCGUAAGCCUGAACCAGCCAAGUAGCGUGCAGGAUGACGGCCCUAUGGGUUGUAAACUGCUUUUAUGCGGGGAUAAAGUGGCCCACGUGUGGGCUUUUGCAGGUACCGCAUGAAUAAGGACCGGCUAAUUCCGUGCCAGCAGCCGCGGUAAUACGGAAGGUCCGGGCGUUAUCCGGAUUUAUCGGGUUUAAAGGGAGCGUAGGCCGCGCCUUAAGCGUGUUGUGAAAUCCGGGUGCUCAACAUCCGGCUUGCAGCGCGAACUGGGGCGCUUGAGUGCGCUGAAAGUAGGCGGAAUUCGUGGUGUAGCGGUGAAAUGCUUAGAUAUCACGAGGAACUCCGAUUGCGAAGGCAGCCUACUGUAGCGCUACUGACGCUGAUGCUCGAAAGCGUGGGUAUCGAACAGG
This 759-nucleotide ribosomal RNA is filed under the name uncultured Prevotella sp. Its description in RNAcentral is "bacterial SSU rRNA". It matches the Rfam family "Bacterial small subunit ribosomal RNA", at positions 28 to 776 of the family's 1533-position model. The record is from RNAcentral. Lineage: Bacteria; Pseudomonadati; Bacteroidota; Bacteroidia; Bacteroidales; Prevotellaceae.